UUCUAGCCCUGAUGGAAGCGGCAUCCUUUUGUCUCAAUUUUUUUGGAGACAAAAGAUACAGUGGACAGCAGGAAAUAGC
This 79-nucleotide small RNA is filed under the name Flavobacterium sp. TAB 87. RNAcentral's name for it is "Flavo-1 RNA". It matches the Rfam family "Flavo-1 RNA". Lineage: Bacteria; Pseudomonadati; Bacteroidota; Flavobacteriia; Flavobacteriales; Flavobacteriaceae. The record is from Rfam by way of RNAcentral.